RNAcentral lists this ribosomal RNA (414 nucleotides) under uncultured fungus. RNAcentral's name for it is "eukaryotic LSU rRNA". The stretch from base 1 to 125 matches the Rfam family "5.8S ribosomal RNA", at positions 30 to 154 of the family's 154-position model. Lineage: Eukaryota; Fungi. The record is from RNAcentral.
GCAUCGAUGAAGAACGCAGCAAACUGCGAUAAGUAAUGUGAAUUGCAGAAUUUAGUGAAUCAUCGAAUCUUUGAACGCAAAUGGCGUUCCUGGGCAUUCCCAGGAGCACGUCUGUCUGAGCGUCGUUUCUCACAUCCCCCUCCUGGAGGGGGGCUAUGGGACUUCCCUUUGCCUCUGUUGCGAACGGUGUCCUGAAGUGAAGCGAACCCGAGCGAGCGGCAGCCCCCCGUGGCCCGUUUUGUUCGGUGUGGUAGAUAAUAUCUCACCGGGCGGGCGUGUGCGACGGAGAGUGAAAGCGAGCAGAACGUGGUCGACUGGACAAGCGAGCUGACGAUUUAUCGACGGCUUGACUAUCAUAGACCUCAGAUCAGGCGAGACUACCCGCUGAACUUAAGCAUAUCAAUAAGCGGAGGA